UAUGCAUACGGAGGCGUAUGUCACCGGCGGCAACAGCGACGGCGCGGAUAGCAAGAAGAAACUGCCGCGCCGCCGCCACCACCGCGGUGAUGUUCUGAGGCGCAUUUUACGCGCCUUUUGCUGCUGGAACGCUUCGGGGAGCGAGUGAGCCACCGUAUGUACUACUCGUAUUCUAAUUAUCACCACAUGAUGUAAGAGCAAGAAACUUCCCAUAAAAAAUAAGAAUGCCCCAUGUAAUACCCUAUGAUUUUGUACUCAAGAACUUGUACUGGUAGUUCUCCUGAUGUUUGCCCUAUGUUAAAUCCUCAAAGGUAUAUUAUUUGUGUGACUUGUGUUUGUAUUUUUUUUUCCGGGGGACUUGUUGUGGCGUCUGACGGCAUCUAAAAGACCGCAGCAUAUUCUUGUGUGAUCAUCUUUAUAUAUCGCUUUAAUUUGAUAGAACUAUUUACUUCUUUUGCCUUAAAGUUUUUUGUGUAGAUGCUCUGUUUGUUUUACAAGGGUUUAUUCAAAGGAAGUAAUCGCUUUUUUACCAGAAAAAAAGUAAAGUGCUUUUGGUAGUAUCAAUCAGUGGAUAGUGUUGCAUAUCGGUAGCUUUCUAUUUCAGGAGAUCCAUGCGGGGUAGCUUUUGCUUUAGUGAAGAGUCAGUUGGACUAUUCAAUUUUAUUGGGCUGAGGAAGCAUUUACCUGAAUAGGCCCUAGAAAAUAUCGAAAACACUAUGUUGAUACUCUUUGCAUUCCUCAAAAAAAAAGUCUAUACUCUUUGCAAAGCUCACUCUGGCCUCCUCUGGUGGUGAAAAGUGGUGCGCUGCAUGUGCGACUGUCACAACCGAAUAGUUUUACGCUUUUCCAUAAAAAAAUUUAAUAUCUCUCAAACCGUGUGCCCAAAUAACGCACCGUUUUCACCGUUACGUUUCUCGCAUCGGGAUCUUCAAAAUAAGACCUCAUGUUAAUAUGUUUGGAUAAACUUCUUAUAAAAGAAAUCCGAAAACAAAAAAGGGGGAAAUCAAAAAUAAAACUGAAACCAAAAACGAAAUGAAAAACUUGAAGCACUUUUUGUGCUUUUUUACUUUUCAGAAAGCACAAUCGUCCUUCACGUGGAAGCACGUGCUUUUCACUUUUUUGGGGGGAAGCACAACUAUGCUACACGCGCAAGCACAACUGUGUUUCACUGUGAAGCACAAUUUUGCAUUUCACUUUUCGAGAAGCGCAGUUGUGUUUCAGUGAACCAUAACUAUCGUUGGGCCUCGUGGGCUCCUAGGCAGGUCUUCUGCCUGACUCCCCUCGGUGAGCCACCUCCGGUGUAUGACACCGCCACCACGUCUAGCGAGGAAGAGUAAGACAUGGGACACAGACGUGCCCACACCUGUAUCUCAUGUCCUACUCUUCCUCGCGGGAGUUCGCCACCUGGCUUGGGGCAUCGCUAAUCGAGGUGAGGUCCACGAUCGACGUGGAUGGGUCGGCCUCGUGGUCGUUGCUGCCCGGCAAGAAUCGCGCGGGCGACGCGAAGGACACGGAGUUGCGGAUGUCAGUAGUCACGUUUCGUAUGCGAUCACCUGCGCCGCCUCCGUGCCUGCCUCUAUCGUGAUCGCGUUGUAGACUACACGAGCGCUACAUGUGGCCUCGUAGAGUGCCCUCUGCUAGUCGACGAAGUUUGGGUCCUCCGCGACCAUGGCUGCCACAGCCUCCCCGCUUGCGAAUUCGUCGUAGAUUUGCCCCUCCACCGCCCGGUAAUGCGCGAGGAGGUUGAGAUUGUAGUGUUCGUCCCAUCGUGCUCCAUCCGAAAUGCCGACAUCGGCAGUGCCGGCUGCACCUCCGUCGUGACGGUGUUGAAGUGAUCAUGCGCCUACUCCAUGGUGAAGCUGGCAUGGACUGGUGUGGGUGCGAGCGCUGACUCGACAUCGGACGCCUCCUCCAUUGCCAGGUCAUCAUCGCCGAACUUCGGCAAGCUCACCAGCAAUCUGGCCUCUAUCUGUCACGCACUACGAUCUAGAGAGUCGGUCGCAAGGCUGGCCAACUCGUGCUUCUGCUCCGUAGAGAGGCCCUCCCACAACAUGCUGGAGUUCGUCGUCAUUCCGUUGGAGGUGCAUGGAGGAGGAAGGGAAGUGGACCUGGUAUGGUGCAGAUCGUGCCGUGAUCGGCCACGUUUAAAUAGCGGGAGCUGGCUAGGCCAAGUGGCGGGUUGUUUCAAUGCGAAUGCAAGGCUCGCCGGCACGCCUAUUUAAUGUCGACGGUUUGACGGAUGGGCAAUCGACUUAAAUGGGUAGAAAGCAGUCUUGUUGCCGGUUACGUCGCUCCGGCAUUGAACUGUUGGGAAACGUAGUAGAAAACAAAAAAUCGUCCUACGAUUAGGAACACUAUGAAGAUGCAUUACAGGUUUAGAUCGGAUCGUUAGCAACUUCGAGUUGCAGCGGAAGAAGAGUUGGUGUAGAUCAUACUUGAAGUCCCUCGAACUGUUUAUGAACGAUCCCUCAAACCGAAGACUAAAAACACGACCUCUUUACAGUUUGCAAGCGUUACGGGCUUCACGAUCCGCAGCGCUUCGCCGUACAGAGCUAAUCAUCGGUGACGAAUUAGAGUGAGAAUAAUAGAACCACAUAGGGCUUCUCUAUUAUGAGGAUUAGAGAGAUCUAGGUAUAGCUCUAAUUAGAUCAACUCCAAUUUAGAAUUAGAACUAGAGAACUAGAGUAGGCUCCAAAACUUGUGUAGACAAAAGGGCCAAAACCUAUAGCAUAUAUAGGUCAGAGGGGAGAGGAGGGGGCGCCACAAGGGGGAGGAAUCCUCCUCCCCUUACGCCGGCCCUAGAGGGGAGGAGGAGUCCCUCCCCCACUCCAAUUCGCCCUCCUCUAGCUUGUCAUACAAGCUAGGGGGUGCCCCAAGUGUUAUUGGGCCCUUGGGUAACUCUCCACCAGUUGGCCUUUUUUAUUAUUUCUUUGACCCGUCGAUAUUAAAUUAAUUCUAAAAUGUUCCUAAUUAAUAUUAUAACAUUCAGUUAUUAAUUUAACAUCUUCAGAAAUAUUUUCCACCUAUAUAUCAAUUCCCAGUAUUACCCGGUAAACCCCAAAACUCUUCCGGUAACUCCGAAAUGCUUUCGGUUUCUCUCAAAACUAUUUCCAAUAUUCUUGAAACUAUUUCGUGAAUAUAUUCUCAUGACUCUUACUCCACUAAUACUCAACAAAUGGUGAUUCCCUUAAUCUUGUGGCCCUGUAGGUUCGGUAAAACAUAGACAUGAAUGAAACUCCUUCCGUUCAAUGGCCAAUAGCAGAACUGUGGACAUCCAUUUUGAUCCCUAUGAAUACACGAAUGAUAUUCGAGUGAACCUUUGGUUAUCAUGUGUUAUUCCCUUUGCUUCCCGAUACUUUACAAAACCCGAGGUGAGAUGUAUCAGUAUCCUCUUGAGUAAUUCUCUCCUCGUUACCGAUUUUGUUCGUCUUUCUCAUUGACAUGUUCCGGCAUCCAUGUGACCUAGUCACCUAUGUCUGGCUAGACGACGAUGGAUGUCGUCACACCGAGAGGGCCCUAGAAUAUCUCUGCAUCACUGAAGGAGCAAAUCCCAAUCUCGAGCCAUCUAGGCCCUUGUCAAACUUCCUGAUGAACCUGUAAGUUGUCGUUAUGAUCACCGUGUUACAGAUGACGUUUGAGCAACCCCAAAGUCCAUCUUACGGUAAGAAGUGACUCGGAUAUUCUCAUGGUCUAAGGAACUAAAUCAUACAUUAGCUCCCUGUGUUAUAUCGAUUGACUUGUGACGAUAGUAUCUCAAAGUAUAACAAAAAAGUUGGGUCAAUUCAAUAUGAUCGUUCUUCUAACGUCAUAUUCUCAAAAUUGUUUUGGGACUAUCAUUACACUUAACAAUAUCCCAAGAUCUAAAAAAACAUGAUCACAAAUAACAAUUGAGCUAGUCCUAGAGGCGAGAUUAGGAAUCAGGUUUUACCAUUUAUCAUUCCACACGUGCUUAAGAGUUUUCCACUGAAUCGCAUAUUCCAGGAUCAUAGUAGUUAUAACAUAGAAUAUAAACGUGAAAAUAAAUAAUACUCCCUCUGUCCCAUAAUAUAAGAACGUUUUUGACAUUAGUGUAGUGUCACAAAUGUUCUUAUAUUAUGGGACGGAGGGAGUAAAAUAUUAUUACCUCUAGGACAUAUUUCCAACAUGAACAUGCACGAAGACCGAGCGAAAGAGGCACAUGCCGCGCUCACAGCUGGCGCGCUGCUCCAUUGCCGGCUGCAGUGACCGGUCGCGUUAGCUUUGGGAUGGUAUGAAUGCAACGGGGGAGUGGAGGUGCGGUUGGGUAGGAGAUGGUUUUCGGUGGGACCGUGUUGUCGGACCGUGCGUGAAGGACGCCCGGAUGCCCGUGAACCUCCCCUGGUUUGCGUCUGAUUUACGAAAAACAAUCGCGCAGAUGCGUCCGUGGACAAAAAUAGGGAUCUAUGUUGGAUGGCAAACUAUGUUCCGGCAGCUUGUCCAUGAUGUUUGGGAGUCAUUUUGAGGGUCCGUGUUAGAGAUGCACUGACUAGUGGUUGGAGACUUUUGCUUACUUCAGAGUCAGCUGGGCAGUACGCAAACUUGUCGGCCGAGUUGCAUGUACACCUUCGACAUGUAACUUGCCACCUGCCCCGACUCAGUUGUGUGUCCACUCUCAACAUAUAAUUGAGUCGGAGUCAGGGCGAGUUACGUGCCAAGGAUGGACAUUUUUUUAGAGAAAAGACAUGCGCCCGACUUUAUAAAUAAAGCCAUAAGGCAGGUAGCAAACACACAGAGGUUCAGACCACACAACCAGCACGACCCCAACCAUGGGUCAGACGAAGGAGAGUUAAAGUUAAAAGGGGUACAUGGCUCCCUAGCCAGUACACGGCACGCAGGCCGGAAAGUUUUACUGCCCGAGAGAAACUAGCCAACGAAGCACGAAACCAACUAAGCAUCUUGCUUUUGUCUGCAUAGAUUAGACGCCGAGGCCCGAACUUUGGAGAUCAGCCCAGACAUCGCAUCUUGGUCCUCCACCUUAGUCAAUGAUUUCCACUGCUGCAAUAGAGCACAUGAUUUAAAUAAGCAAUCAGCAGGUUUAGCCGGAAACACAUGUUCAAUAGUAAAUUUGUUCCUAGUCGUCCAAAGAGACCAACAAAUAGCUCCCAGGCCCACCCAAAAGAUACGUCUAGUAACGCCCGACAGAUUAUUAGCAAGAGCCCGGAGCUCGGAGAACGAAGCAGGGUCCCAGGCUACAUGAAGCCACUCUCUAAUGCAACUCCAGAUCAGCUUAGCCAAGACACAAUGAAAGAAGAUAUGAGCUGUAUCCUCCAAGUCACCACACAAGGCACAAAAUUGUGAACCCGGACCAUUCCUCUUACGAAUUUGGUCAGCCGAAGGCAGCCGGCCCCUAAAAGCUUGCCAUAAGAAAAUCUUAACUUUAGGAGGGAUCCGGGCCUUCCAGACCUGAGAGAAUCUGUUAGUAGGGGUGCCACCAAUAAGCUUAGAAUAAAGCGAUUUAACAGAGAAACGACCAGAAGCAGUGUGCGGCCAAAUCACCGAGUCCAAGUUCGUCGAGAGCAUGGGGAAGAAGGCAGUAAGACGUUGCCAAUCUUCAAACUCUUCAGGCGGAAGGGAUCGGCGAAAGGCCAGGUCCCACCCAUUAGCAGCCAGCUCCGCAAUAGAGAUAUUCGGGUCAGGACAGUACGAGAAUAAGGUGGGGAAGGUCACGGAGAGCAGUGAAUCUCCACACCACCAAUCAAGCCAAAAUCUAAUGGAGGAGCCAUCCCCCACUACAAACUUAACGUGAGCCUGGAAAAGGGGCCUCACUUUCACCAAGGCUUUCCAUAAUUGAGAACCCCCACUCGAGUUAGCAAACAUCGGGCUAGAGAGGAGAAAGUAUUUGGCCUUAAGAAUAGAGAACCAUAAGGACUGAUUCCCACCACUCAUAAUUUUCCACCACCAUUUAAUCAUAAGACAUUGGUUCAUGAUGUUAGUGUUAAUAAUACCCAACCCUCCAAGGUUUUGGGUCGACACAUUAGCUUCCAUUUAACGAAGCGAUAUUUGCGAUGAUUAUCAGCAGCGUUCCAAUAAAAAGCCCCACGGUGCUUAUCAAAGCCUGCAUGAGUACCUCCCGAGAGUAGAUAAAAGCCCAUCAAGAACAUGGGAAGGGAGGUCAAACAUGCAUUAAUCAAAGCCACUUUACCCACGUUGGUAUUAUAUCUGCCACGCCAGGGCAGGACCCUGUUGCCCACCUUAGUUACCACCGGGGCAAACUCCUUCGCAUGAAGCACAUCCGGGGAGAUGGGGAGGCCCAAAUACUUGAAAGGAAAGGAUCCUAGCUUACAGUUAAGAAGACGGGCCACCCUUAAGGCUUCAUUACCAUCCACACCGGUGACAAUAACCUCACUCUUCGCAAAAUUGAUUUUAAGGCCCGACAUGGCUUCGAAACAAAGGAGAAUGAAUUUGAGAUUAGUGAGGCAAGAAUCAUUUAACUCAACCAUUAUAAUGGUGUCGUCCGCAUUUAAGUAACCCCUUCAAGGAUGGACAUAAAAAUUGGGUUGGCCUAGUUGCAUAUCGGCAAUUCAUAUUGGGCUAUUGGCCGUGGCCCAAAAUUCCGAAUCCAGCACCGGAGCUGUGCAAGAUCAAUUAGUAGACUUGGUCAAGGUCAACCAUGGGUCUUCGUAAUGUUCUUUUUGCAAAAUCACGUACUGCCUAUCUGUUUCUCCAGAUCAUCUGAAUCGCACUUUCUGUUGAAAAGUGCGAUCUGAACAAUGUAUGGUUCCUUCCUCGCAAAAUGGAGAUCAACGUCUAUAUACGGUCAGUGGUCAAGCGAGACUAUUCAGCGUCGAAUGCAAACAUCGGAAUUACGAGAAAAACUUUCAGCGGCACCCUUCAAUAGCUCGCCGACCAUUUAGGUUAUUGAUGCCCUUCUUCAGAUACCGCGAUCAGAACAAGUGUUAAGUAAUCCAUCUUUACCAGUACAGCGACUAAAGCACAUAUCAUUAGAUGCCACAGCGCAUAAUGGUCUCUGACGAGAGAAGAUUAGAUGCUAUAACCUCUGCACACCUCGAGCCGUUUUGUAGAGCCCAUGCAUGUUUGGUAUAGAUACCUCAUACCUCAACUAAUCAUGAUUAAAUUAAGAGAUCCGUCGUUACCUUCCCAUGGGAGUGUAAUCUUUUUUGGUAAGAGGUUCAUCUGGCCUUAGCUUAUCCGGAAUGCAAAACUAGUUACUGCCCCACUCACUUAAACUCUUGGAGCUUCGAUACUGCCGAAAGCGCACUGCCCUUUUUAGGUACUGCAUUUGUUCGGUCGUCGAUUAUGUUCUAACCAUCUGUUACUCUGAACUCCUAUAUAAGCUCAUCCAUCACUCUUGGAGCAAGUAACCUCUUCGGAACAUUUCCUGUACUAGCUAACAGUCCAUAUACAGUAUAUGCAUACAGAGGCAUAUGUCACCGGCGGCAACAGCGACGGCCCCGAUAGCACGAAGAAACCUCGGCGCCGCCAGCACCACCGCCGCGGUGAUGUUCUGAGGCGCAUUUUGCGCGCCUUUUGCUGCUGGAACGCUUCGGGGAGCGAGUGAGCCACCGUAUGUACUAGUCGUAUUUUAAUUAUCAGCACAUGAAGUAAGAGCUAGAACCUCUCAACCAAAAUAAGAAUGCCCUAUGUAAUACCCUAUGAUUUUGUACUCAAGAGCUUGUACUAGUUGUUUCCUGAUGUUUGCCCUAUGGUAAAACCUCGAAGGUAUAUUAUUU
Molecule: long non-coding RNA, 7709 nt
Filed under: Triticum aestivum (bread wheat)
Lineage: Eukaryota; Viridiplantae; Streptophyta; Magnoliopsida; Poales; Poaceae
Description: long non-coding RNA (TAES_LNC017644)
Rfam family: MIR1120/MIR1122 microRNA precursor family (bases 4026-4112)
Source: RNAcentral